GUAGGUGGCAAGCGUUGUCCGGAAUUAUUGGGCGUAAAGCGCGCGCAGGUGGUUUCUUAAGUCUGAUGUGAAAGCCCGCGGCUCAACCGUGGAGGGUCAUUGGAAACUGGGGAACUUGAGUGCAGAAGAGGAAAGUGGAAUUCCACGUGUAGCGGUGAAAUGCGUAGAGAUGUGGAGGAACACCAGUGGCGAAGGCGACUUUCUGGUCUGUAACUGACACUGAGGCGCGAAAGCGUGGGGAGCAAACAGGGAUUAGAUACCCUGGUAGUCCACGCCGUAAACGAUGAGUGCUAAGUGUUAGGGGGUUUCCGCCCCCUUAGUGCUGCAGCUAACGCAUUAAGCACUCCGCCUGGGGAGUACGGCCGCAAGGCUG
Molecule: ribosomal RNA, 373 nt
Filed under: uncultured organism
Description: partial 16S ribosomal RNA
Rfam family: Bacterial small subunit ribosomal RNA
Source: RNAcentral